RNAcentral lists this transfer RNA (64 nucleotides) under Festuca filiformis. It matches the Rfam family "tRNA", at positions 20 to 71 of the family's 71-position model. From Rfam's summary of the family: Transfer RNA (tRNA) molecules are approximately 80 nucleotides in length. Their secondary structure includes four short double-helical elements and three loops (D, anti-codon, and T loops). The record is from RNAcentral. Lineage: Eukaryota; Viridiplantae; Streptophyta; Magnoliopsida; Poales; Poaceae. RNAcentral also lists the same sequence under 9 other names.
GACGCUACGGACUUAAAAUCCGUCGACUUUAUAAGUCGUGAGGGUUCAAGUCCCUCUAUCCCCA